RNAcentral lists this ribosomal RNA (322 nucleotides) under uncultured eukaryote. RNAcentral's name for it is "partial 18S ribosomal RNA". It matches the Rfam family "Eukaryotic small subunit ribosomal RNA", at positions 1470 to 1796 of the family's 1831-position model. The record is from RNAcentral.
CCCUUAGAUGUUCUGGGCCGCACGCGUGCUACACUGAGUGGAUCAGCGGGUCAGGUUGCACGAAAGUGUUUCCUAAUCUUUAAAUCCGCUCGUGAUGGGGAUUGACGGUUGCAAUUUUCCGUCAUGAACGAGGAAUACCUUGUAAGCGCGGGUCAUCAUCCCGCGCUGAAUACGUCCCUGCCCUUUGUACACACCGCCCGUCGCUCCUACCGAUUGAGUGGUCCGGUGAGGCUUUGGGAUCUGAGCGGAAAGAGCGUUUCGCUGUUUCUGCCCGGAAAACUCAGUCGAACCUUAUCAUUUAGAGGAAGGAGAAGUCGUAACA